RNAcentral lists this unclassified non-coding RNA (948 nucleotides) under Zea mays. Its description in RNAcentral is "misc RNA Zm00001eb427740". The record is from RNAcentral. Lineage: Eukaryota; Viridiplantae; Streptophyta; Magnoliopsida; Poales; Poaceae.
CUGCUGCUCCUCAUGCAGGCGGUGGUGCAGUCUCUCCAAGUGGCUGGACUGUCCGGCCACGGGACGGCGAAGCGGACGCUCAGCAAGGCGGGAGGGGGGGGUAGACGGGUGGCUCGGGGUAGACGAUCGUGUCGCGAACGAGUCGCGCACGCGCCGGGGCCGCGCGCUGGCCGAGCUCGAGGCCGCGCGCCAAAGGUACGCCGGGCCAAGCUCGAGGCCGCACCGAGGCCAUCACGACGCGAGCAGGGCACGCCGGGACGGGCGGGCGAACACGGGCGACGGCGACGUCGCGGACAGGGGAGCGCGUCGAGCCGCCAUGGCCGGGACGGCCGGAGCCGGCAGGCGCGGCCGGGCGAGGCCGCGGCGAGCGAGGGGCGAGGCCGGGCGCGGCCGGCGCGACCGCGGCGAGGCUGGGUGCGGCCGGGCAGCCUCACCGGGAGGCGGCCGGGCAGGCUCGCCGGGAGGCGGCCGAGCCAGGCACGGGGCGGGCGGCCUCGCCGGGGGGGGGGGGCCGAGCCGGGCACGGGGGCGGGCGGGUCGCCAGGGGGCGACCGAGCCGGGCACGGGGGCGGGGAAGGGGCGGGGCGGCGCGGGGCAGCCAAGCCGAGGCCGGGCGCGGCGGGGCCGGGGAUGGGGACGGCCGAGCCGGGGCACGGCGAGGCGGGGCCGGCCGAGGACGACGCGGGGCGGCCGGGCGAGGCUGGACGGGGGACGCCGAGGGCGGCCGAGCCGGGCGGCUCGCCGAGCGUCCUCGACCUUUACCGCAACCUCCUAGAUGAGCGCUGGGACGGGUACGACAUGGCCGCAUGGGCACCGCAGUCGGGGUGUGGGCGAGGCCACAUUGCGACGACAAUUGUGUGGGGAAAAUGGUGGGCUGGUAAUAACAACAAAGGAGGCUCCGUCAUCCUUAGGAUCCAUAAUUGUCGCACCAUCUUCACUGCACAUUAG